Molecule: ribosomal RNA, 1842 nt
Filed under: Triticum aestivum (bread wheat)
Lineage: Eukaryota; Viridiplantae; Streptophyta; Magnoliopsida; Poales; Poaceae
Description: partial small subunit ribosomal RNA
Source: RNAcentral
AUGGAUCCAGCCACGAUCGCCAGGACCAGCAGCAGCUUCAGCCGCAUCAGCAUCAGCGAGCCACAGAUCUACGGGCCGCGGACCCUCAGGGACGAAGGAGUUGUCAGAAAAGAGGAGAGGGACAAGCUUAGAUGGGCCCUCCUUGCCAAGAUUGAGAGCUGCUACGGGCGGGUGAAGCUCCUCCGGGGGGUCUUCGACGCCGGCUUCUGCUUCGGGCUCCUAUAUCCCAUCUCCAACAUCGUCGCCGGCGUCUCGAUCGCCGGUGCCAUGAGCGUGGAUGACCCUGACAAUGAACCCGUCCCCGCAGCAUCUUUCCCGAAGCGGAGAAAAACAGAUGUGAUCGGGGACAUGCACCAGCGGUCGCUCAACGGCCUCGUAGCCUUCCUGGCCGCCCUCUUCCCCUACCUCACUGAGCCCAAGGCUAUGUGGUACCUCAACAAAGAAGAGUUGGAUCCCCUUGUUGCCGCCCGCCUCAUCAUCCAGCACCGGGGGAUGGAGCAGAGUUUCGGGUUUAAAUCCGACACCACUGCCGCCGCCGUGGAACUGGCCCUUAGAUGUGCUGCAGCUGCCGCCCAGCACCCGUGCCCGAAGCAGUUUGCGUCAGCUUGGAAGCUGCUUUCACAUUUUCUUGGGAGUGUCGCCACCGUGCUAUCAGGCCCAUGUGUAACUUUCGAUCGUUUCCAGUCCGCUGAAAUCAUAGAUAUUCUGCUCAAGAAACAUCAGCCAUCAGAUUUCAGCCUUGAGAAAUCAUGGGAUCUUGCCUCUUGUCGUCUACUCAAGCUCAGUCCUGACCUCUUCGGGGAGGUGAUGGGAUUUCCUGAGCGGUCCACUAUGAGGCGAAUGCUGCUCGCCACCAUCCAUGGAUACUACCUGCAGGCACUAGCCCGGCUGCCCAAGGAGAAGCUGCGCUCUCAAUACCACCACAGCCUGCUCCAGGCCGGCCACUGCUAUGGUCCACUGGACCCUGUCUCCAACAUCAUCCUCAAUACAAUCUGGUACAGCCAAGCCUACCCUCUAACCAAGAAGGUUGACCUAGAGGCAAUCAGCACAGGAGGCCUUUUUCGAAUUGCAGUCAGAUCCUUCUAUGGCCUUGUCUCCUUCCUGUGCACCCGCUGCGCCACACACCUCUCGCCGGACCAAGCCAUGCAGCGACUGCAGGCGUCUGGGGCCGAUCUCCGAAUCGCUGAUCCUAACCACCUUGAUGAUGAUAACAAUGAUGAUGCUAUGGUAUCUGCCAGUGUCGAACAAGCCUAUGCUGCAGCUGCAGCUGCUGCAUUUCACCCCAAACCUCGUGACCAGGCAGAGCUUCUCCGACCGUCUAAUCCAAUGUUGCGGAUGGCCUCGCACUAUCUCAAGGAUGGCGGCAAGCUCUCCGUCAUGGACGCUGACCAUCUUGCCGAAUGUUUGUUCUAUUCCAUCAGCGAGUUGGAACAAACUGAGCACGCAGAAACAAACAUCGAGGCGGUAAACAAGUUGACCUACGGAAGGAUGGAUCGACUCAUAAAUGACUUCUGGAAUGAGCAUGCUGCAGUCGUUGGAAUGGUGAAAUCUUUAAUUGACGUAUACAGCCGGCAACCUGGGGUACCCAAGUACGAGUUGCAUCUUAUCUGCGGUGUCAAUAAGUAUGUUGAUGGCCCUGUGUACACGGGUCCUUUCACUCGCAUAUAUCAUUACUCCCACAUCAACUUCCUCGCUACCAAAUCUGCCGGUGCACCACCAACGCUAUUCUUUGCUGAAUGCCGCAAUGAUGGCACUCAGACUCAGGAGAUGGGCUGGUGCUGCCCUGUCGACGUACCAUCUCCAGGCACUGGAAUGCGAACAAGUCCGUUGCCUGUACUGUGA